This 484-nucleotide ribosomal RNA is filed under the name uncultured bacterium. RNAcentral's name for it is "partial 16S ribosomal RNA". It matches the Rfam family "Bacterial small subunit ribosomal RNA", at positions 30 to 507 of the family's 1533-position model. The record is from RNAcentral.
AUUGAACGCUGGCGGCAGGCCUAACACAUGCAAGUCGAGCGGAUGAAGGGAGCUUGCUCCUGGAUUCAGCGGCGGACGGGUGAGUAAUGCCUAGGAAUCUGCCUGGUAGUGGGGGAUAACGUCCGGAAACGGGCGCUAAUACCGCAUACGUCCUGAGGGAGAAAGUGGGGGAUCUUCGGACCUCACGCUAUCAGAUGAGCCUAGGUCGGAUUAGCUAGUUGGUGGGGUAAGGGCCUACCAAGGCGACGAUCCGUAACUGGUCUGAGAGGAUGAUCAGUCACACUGGAACUGAGACACGGUCCAGACUCCUACGGGAGGCAGCAGUGGGGAAUAUUGGACAAAGGGCGAAAGCCUGAUCCGGCCAUGCCGCGUGUGUGAAGAAGGUCUUCGGAUUGUAAAGCACUUUAAGUUGGGAGGAAGGGCAGUAAGUUAAUACCUUGCUGUUUUGACGUUACCAACAGAAUAAGCACCGGCUAACUUCGUG